Molecule: long non-coding RNA, 2866 nt
Filed under: Citrus maxima (pomelo)
Lineage: Eukaryota; Viridiplantae; Streptophyta; Magnoliopsida; Sapindales; Rutaceae
Description: long non-coding RNA (CMAX_LNC000816)
Source: RNAcentral
UUGGUGAAUAAGCUGUGAGAAAGCUUGAUGUCCUAGAGAUUGUCAUUAUUGAGAGUGAAGAGCCCAGUGCUCGUAAUCCUAUAAAACAAUAACCCAUUAGGGAUUGUUGGGGUACUAUCAACGUACACCCUUCAAUGUUUAAGUCAGAGAUCGAAAAUAGAAAGAUAACAAAUAAAUAAUAUAAGAGAGAAAAGAAAUUAAGAGAAUGGCCUGGAGAAUAUUGUACCCCCUCCUUCAAUAUACCUAUUUCUCUAUAUCCCACCUUUGAGUGAUGCCCUCUUUAUAUAAGAGAGAUAAUUAGAAGUAUAAUUAAAUUAGAAAAACUUUUCUUUUAUCUUGUAGGAUUGGAGUUUAGCAAGAAUUAGGACCUAUAUUUUUUAAUGCUGUUUAGAUUAGGAUAUGUUAUUAGAUGUGAGUCCUUGAGUUCGAGGCCCUUUCGUUAUGUCAUUAGGUAGAAUUUGGUAAAAAUAUAGGUAUAACAGGAGCCCCCAAAUUAUAGUAUUCACGAAUUUACAAGUGAAUGCUGUAAACUGAUAUAUUUUAUAAUAUGUUAGAUUUUCUUAUUGUCCCUUGUAUGAUAUAAAGACAUCUCAAGUGUUGUGAGGAAAUCUUGAACGACAUGAGUGAAUCUUAAAUAUGAUGAGGAAAAUCUCGAAUGACAUGAGAGAAAUGCGAAUGACACGAGGAAAUCACAAGUGUCAUGAUGACAUCUUGAAUGGCAUGAGGACAAUAUGAAUGACUAGAGGAGACUCGAAUGUCAUAAGGAUAGCUUGAAUAACUUGAGGAGUUCUCACAAUAUGGGUCAUAAAACAAUUUGAAUGGCAUGAGGAUAAUAUGAAUGACAUGAACAAAUCUCAAAUGUUAUUAGGAUAACUUGAAUGACAUGAGGAGAUUUUGAAUGUUAUGAUAUGGGUCAUAAAAUUAAAAUAAUACUGCAAUAUGGAGGUAUAAAUUAAAAUAAUAUUGCCAUAAGCACCAUUAGAUUAAGAUAAUGCCACGAUAAAGGGCCAUAAUUAAGAUAAAAAUAAUGCCGCAGUAAGGGCUUGCAAAUUAUGCUAGGACACAGGCCAUAAUUAAGAUAAAAAUGAUGUUGUGAUAAGGGUCAUAACUAAGAUAAAAAUGAUGCCGCGGUAAGGGCUUGCAAAAUGCGCUGCGAUGAGGGCCAUAAUUAAAAUAAAAAUGAUGCCGUAGUAAGUGCUUGCAAAUUAUGCUGCGAUAAAGGGCCAUAAUUAAAAUAAAAUGAUGCCGCGGCAAGGGCUUGUAAAUAAGGGUCAUAAUUAAGAUAAAAUGAUGCCGCGAUAAGGGCUUACAAAAUAUGUCCAGACAAGGGUAAAGACAAAAAUGAUGUCGCAGUAAAAGGCUAUUUAACAUCUCUGUGUUCCAAAUUUUCCUGACCUCAGGUCAAUUAGCACUCUGCAAUGUCAUGAGAUCGAGACUUAAGAGCAUGGGUUAGGGUACAUGUUAUAAGAUUGAGGCUUAUGAGCAUAAGGCCGAGUUAUGUGCGAUGAGAUUGAGACCCAGAGUAUGAGAUCAAGAUACAUACCAUAAAAUCGAGAUAAAAAAAAGUAUGAGAUAGAGAUACGUAUUACGAGAUCGAGGCACAAGAGUAUGAGGCCAAAAUUUGUAGAAUAAGAUCGAGGCCUCUAGCACACUUAACAGAGAUUCCAAGCAUUUAAUCUUUGUAGCCAUGUGUAUGGUUUUAAUCCAAUCUAGAUUAUUGCGUAUAAUCAAUAACAGAAUAAAUAUUAAAGUGAAAGAAAAUGGGCAAAAUAGUAAAUUUCACAUAGUGAGGGUUUACCUUCCUGGCCACCAGUGGCCGGAGAAUCAAGUGAAAGUGGUCGUGAUAUAGGCUUCAGCCUGCGAAGAGUCCAACGGUGGUGGUGGUGAGUCGUAUCGCGCUGUGGCGGCGGCAGAUCGAGAUCCUUAGCCGCGUGUGCUUCAGCGGCUGUCAGCGACCAAUUCGGUGACUUCUGGUUAGUGUUAAUGGCUGGAGUUUGAAAGGAGCAAAACCCAGGUGACGAUGAGUCGUAAUUCCGGCAGAUAUGCACUGGGUCUUGGCGGCGGUUUCGCGAAGAUUGUGGUUUCGUGCGGCGGUUUUCUGGACAUUUUCCGGCGGCGUCGAAGAAGGUAUUUUGUUAGCCGGAAUUGGGGGCUUCGAUAGUGGCCAAUCGGAAAUUGAAUCGGGGGGGUAGUGAUUGCCGCGAGUGGUGGCUUGCUUUGCGCUCGAGUUUGGGAAUUUGUACCCGACCCGUUUCCUCUGGUCCAUUGAUAUUAUUUAUUUAUUUUGUUUUGUUGCUUUUCCGACCAUAAUUGUUGAGAUAUCUAGGCUUUUUGUCUGAUCCCCAAAAAUGGCGCGAAUUGUUGGUACUUAAAUUUGAAUCAACAAUAAGAAUCAGGAAAUAAUUAUUUUGGGAAAUAGGUUGUGAGAGAACUUGAUAUCCUAAGAAUUGUUUUUGUUAAUUUAUUUAUUUUUAUUACUUUUCUACCAUUAUUGUUGGGUUCUUUAGGUUUUUUGUUUCAUCUCCAUAGACAAAGUCAAACUGUUGAUUUCUAAAAUUUGGACCGACAAUAAGAGUUUAGAAAGAGUUGUUUUAACCGGGGAAGAAGUUGUAAGAUAAAUUGAUGUCUUAGGAAUUGCUAUAAUUGAGAGUGAAGAGCUAAGUGAUCAUAAUCCUACAAAACAAUAAUCUAUAAGGAAUCGCCAAAGAUGUUAUUGGCGCAGAUCCUUCGAUACUUAAGUUAGAUAUUGAGGGUGUUAUCGGUAUAAACCAUUCGAUACUUAAGUUAGUGAUCUAAAGUAGCACAAUAACAAAUAAAUAAUUAGAGAGAGAAAAGAGAGCAUGAAAAAGGCUUGGCUCCUCCAAUA